RNA transcript from Balaenoptera musculus (blue whale), 3399 nucleotides. It is a transcript of the gene named prostaglandin I2 receptor, with no coding region annotated. The transcript is spliced from 3 exons. The record is from RefSeq and is a predicted model, not a curated record. Lineage: Eukaryota; Metazoa; Chordata; Mammalia; Artiodactyla; Balaenopteridae.
CACAGCAAGAGACAGAGACAGAGAAGGAAAGAACUAGGGGCUUGAAGAGGAAAAGACUAGACAGGGAAACAGAUGUAGGGAAGGAAAGAAAUAAGGGAAAGAGAGAGAGAGAGUACGGGAGCCUGGGGAAGACAGAGGGGAGAGAAAUAGAAAUAGACGGACGGUCGCACAACAAGAAUUGCGGUGGGUUGACUGGGACCCUCCCUCCCCCCCACCUCCAACUGCAGCGCGGACCCCGGGGAGGGGAGCGCGGUGGUGGGCGUCGCAGGGGCGGACCCGGCUACCCCUCCGUCGCCACCUCCCACCGCGGGGACCCUUCCGGCCCGGGCGGCUGCGGGAGACCGGGGAUGGCGGAUUCGUGCCAGAACCUCACGUACGUGCGGGACUCGGUGGGCCCGGCCACCAGCGCCCUGAUGUUCGUGGCGGGCGUGGUGGGCAACGGGCUGGCGCUGGGCAUCUUGGGGGCGCGGCGACGGUCACGCCCCUCGGCCUUCGCGGUGCUGGUCACCGGGCUGGCGGUCACCGACCUGCUGGGCACGUGCUUCCUGAGUCCAGCGGUGUUCGCGGCCUACGCCCGCAACAGCUCGCUGCUGGGCCUGGCCCGGGGCCGCCCGGCGCUGUGCGAUGCCUUCGCCUUCGCCAUGACCUUCUUCGGCCUGGCCUCCACGCUCAUCCUCUUCGCCAUGGCCGUGGAGCGCUGCCUGGCGCUCAGUCACCCCUACCUCUACGCCCAGCUGGACGGGCCGCGCCGCGCCCGCCUGGCGCUGCCUGCCAUCUACGCCUUCUGCACCGUCUUCUGCUCGCUGCCCCUGCUGGGCCUGGGCCAACACCAGCAGUACUGCCCGGGCAGCUGGUGCUUCAUCCGUAUGCGCUCGGCCGAGCUGGGCGGCUGCGCAUUCUCACUGGCCUACGCGAGCCUCGUGGCCCUGCUGGUGGCCGCCAUCAUCCUCUGCAACGGCUCGGUCACCUUCAGCCUCUGCCGCAUGUACCGCCAGCAGAGGCGCCACCACGGCUCGCUGGUCCCCGGCCCCCGGGCGGGCGAAGAUGAGGUUGACCACCUGAUUCUGCUGGGCCUCAUGACGGGCAUCAUGGCCGUGUGCUCCCUGCCUCUCACGAUCCGCGGCUUCACCCAGGCCAUCGCCCCGGACAGCAGUGAGAUGGGGGACCUCCUCGCUUUCCGUUUCAAUGCCUUCAACCCCAUCCUGGACCCCUGGGUCUUCAUCCUUUUCCGCAAGGCCGUCUUCCAGCGGCUCAAGCUCUGGUUCUGUUGCUUGCGCCCGAGGCCUGGCCAGGGCAACUUGCAGACGUCCCUCUCCCAGCCGGCCUCGGGGAGGAAGGGCUCAAGGGCCCCCACCGCUCUCGGGGGGAAGGAAGGGAGCUGGGUGCAUUUGUCGGCCUGGGGCGAGGGGCAGGGGGCACCCUUGCCUGUCCCACAGCCAUCCAGCAGCACCGUGGGAACACCGUCCAAAGUGGGGUCCGAGACAGCCUGCUCCCUCUGCUGACAUCUAUCUGCCCCGUGAUCUCCUGCCCUGUCUUCCGGGAGCAGGAGCCAGAAAUUCAGGGACAUGACCGAUGGCUGCGGGUGGACAAGCCCAGAGAUGGAUCCUGGAGCCCAGCCGGCCAGAAUGUUGACCCCCUGGAUUCAGGGGGUGAUCAGCUGCUAUUCCUCCUCCUUCAGGGUGGCCACGAUGGGCUGUGGGAGGAGGGAGAGAGGGAGAGGAAACAAUUAUCCUGGAGCAUAAAAAGAGCAGUUCUCUCAAAAUAUCCGGUGGCCUGGGUGGCCUGGUCUGGCCCUCGCUUUGCCCAUCCAUCUCACUGUCUAAAUAUUUAGAAGGCAGAAGAGUUCCCAGCAGCUUCUGUGCACUCAGGUCUCAUCUGGUUAGGCUUCUGGCUCUGAUCCUCAUUCAUUCAGGGUGCCCUGGAUACCCACCCCAAACCCCCGGCAGACAGCCCUGCCCUCUCCCAGUCCACUCCAAGAGCCACCCUCUCUCUGCCUCAUGGGAGCCCAGGAUUCUCCGACAAGCUCCCUGCUUCCCUUUACUUCUGAUUCCCCAUCAGACUUGGGAGGCCUGGUCCCCGCAGGGGAGGUGAAGAAGGGGAGACUGUUGCAUUGUGGGUGACACCACUGGACAGGUGCCUGGAAACUGCAUGGCUUGAGCCUCACUUCACCGCCUGUGUCCUGGGAACUGCCACAAAAAUGUCAUUCAUUCAUUCAUUCAUUCAUUCAACAAAUAGUGGGCGCUGACUCUACCAGGUGCUGGGGACACAGAGCAGUCUCGGCCCCACCCUGGACUCCUCUGGGGUGAUUUCCAGCCUUCAAUUCCCCUUCUGAUUGCUGGGGUGAUGUCCAGCCAUCCACCCCUCCCCCCUUCUCGUUGCCAUCCCCUGCCCUCAGGUACAGAAUUCAAGGGUUUUCCAGGAGUGAACAUGAAAGGAAGUGGUGCUUCUGGUGGUGGGAGGAGGUGAAUGGGAAAGCCCCCAGACUCACCCCCAGCCCUGGGUUCCCCUUUCUCACUUGGCUUCAGGGUUAAAACAAUAAAUCUGCCCCUGAGGAGGGCUGGAGGAGUAGAUGAGGCAUGAGCUUCCUAUAAAGACAAUAGCGGUGGCUAAAGUGAGUCCUCCGCCUUGUGAAUUGCACCCUCCCGCUCCAGGCUGCUAUUAUUACAGCCCUUCUACACAGGCUGGAAUCAAGGUCCGGAGAGGGCCAUCACCAGCCCCAGGAGAAAGCUCAGCCUGCAGGUGGAGCUGGGUUUGUGAGGGUUCCAAGGUUGUUUUUUUUUUGGCCGUGACUCGCUGCUUGCGGGAUCUUAGUUCCCUGACCAGCCAUGGAAACCGUGCCCCCUGCAGUGGAAGCCCAGAGUCCUAACCACUGGACCACCAGGGAAGUCCCUGGUCUAUCUUUUUAUCUCCUUAGCUCAGAUCACUGUUGGGCUGAUGAGUUUGCUUUGGUUUCCUUUUGCUAGAAUGGUGAUCAUAAUCUAAUACUUAGCUUACAAGGCUGUGCUGAGGAUUAAAUGAUUACCCCGAAAAGCAAUUUAGCACAGGGCCUGGAGUAAAGCCCACAAUACGUGUUACUGUUACUGCCAUUGUUGUUGUUGUGGCUAUUGUAGUGGUCUUUGGCAUCUGGGCAAAUGCGGUUUGAAAACACUUUUCUCCAUUGUUUUGACUUCUUCCCACCAGACAUUAUGUUUCAUUUGAAGAGGUGUCUGCGAGAGUUAAAAAUAGGUCAAACGACUGCUUAACGGGUAUGGGGUUUCCUUUUGGGGUGAUGAAAAUGUCCUGGAACUAGAUAGCGACGGUGGUUGUACAACAUCGUGAAUGUACUAAAUGUCACUGAAUUGUACUUUUUAAGAUGGUUAAAAUGGUACAUUUUGUGUUAUGGGUAUUUUACCACAAUAA